This 1463-nucleotide ribosomal RNA is filed under the name Limosilactobacillus reuteri. RNAcentral describes it as "bacterial LSU rRNA". It matches the Rfam family "Bacterial large subunit ribosomal RNA", at positions 266 to 1724 of the family's 2925-position model. Lineage: Bacteria; Bacillati; Bacillota; Bacilli; Lactobacillales; Lactobacillaceae. The record is from RNAcentral.
AGCCCAAACCAACAAGCUUGCUUGUUGGGGUUGUAGGACUGAACAUUAGAGUUACCAAAGUGCGACGUAGUCGCAACAGUUGGGAAGCUGUGCCAUAGAGGGUGAAAGCCCCGUAGACGAAACGUCACACUCUCUGUUCAGGAUCCUGAGUACGGCGGGACACGUGAAACCCCGUCGGAACCCGCGAGGACCAUCUCGCAAGGCUAAAUACUCCCUAGUGACCGAUAGUGAACCAGUACCGUGAGGGAAAGGUGAAAAGCACCCCGGAAGGGGAGUGAAAUAGUUCCUGAAACCAUGUGCCUACAAGCUGUCGGAGCCCGUUAAUGGGUGACGGCGUGCCUCUUGCAGAAUGAACCGGCGAGUUACGAUUGCAUGCAAGGUUAAGGUGGAAAAACCGGAGCCGUAGCGAAAGCGAGUCUUAAAUGGGCGUAAGAAGUAUGUAGUUGUAGACCCGAAACCAGGUGACCUACCCAUGUCCAGGUUGAAGGUGCGGUAAAGCGCACUGGAGGACCGAACCCGUGUCAGUUGAAAAUGGCUGGGAUGAGGUGUGGGUAGCGGUGAAAUUCCAAACGAACUUGGAGAUAGCUGGUUCUCUCCGAAAUCUCUUUAGGGGGAGCCUUGAGGUAAAGAAUCGUGGAGGUAGAGCUACUGUUUGGACAAGGGGCCCGUCAUGGGUUACCAACUUCAGAUAAACUCCGAAUGCCAUCGAUUUAUACUCAGGAGUCAGACGAUGAGUGAUAAGAUCCACCGUCGAAAGGGGAACAGCCCAGAUCACCAGUUAAGGUCCCUAAAUAUAUGCUAAGUGGAAAAGGAUGUGGAGUUGCAUAGACAACUAGGAUGUUGGCUUAGAAGCAGCCACCAUUUAAAGAGUGCGUAAUAGCUCACUAGUCGAGUGAUCCUGCGCCGAAAAUGUACCGGGGCUAAGCAUAUUACCGAAACUGUGGAUGUGCACUAUGUGCACGUGAUAGGAGAGCGUUCUAAGGGCGGCGAAGUCAGACCGUGAGGACUGGUGGAGCGCUUAGAAGUGAGAAUGCCGGUAUGAGUAGCGAAAGACAGGUGAGAAUCCUGUCCACCGAAUGACUAAGGUUUCCUGGGGAAGGCUCGUCCUCCCAGGGUAAGUCGGGACCUAAGCCGAGGCCGAGAGGCGUAGGCGAUGGAUAACAGGUUGAGAUUCCUGUACCAGUUAACUGCGUUUGACGAUGGAGGGACGCAGGAGGCUAAGCAAACCGUACGACUGGAAGAGUACGGCCAAGCAGUAAGUCAGGAUGUGAGUCAAAUGUUUACAUCCGUGUUGACAAGCUGUGAUGGGGAGCGAAAUUAAAGUAGCGAAGUUGCCGAUGUCACACUGCCGAGAAAAGCUUCUAAGGAGUAGUUAACUGCCCGUACCGCAAACCGACACAGGUAGUCGAGGAGAGAAUCCUAAGGUGAGCGAGAGAACUCUCGUUAAGGAACUCGGCAAAAUG